RNAcentral lists this long non-coding RNA (2233 nucleotides) under Canis lupus familiaris (dog). Its description in RNAcentral is "lncRNA (ENSCAFG00000057529.1)". The record is from RNAcentral. Lineage: Eukaryota; Metazoa; Chordata; Mammalia; Carnivora; Canidae.
UGGGAUUUUAACUAAAUCUCUUCCCAUCCUAGGAUUAGCAUUAAAAGAGUCACUUCCAAAGGGGCUGAGGUGAGCAAUCUGGGCACAACAAGCUGUAGGAGAAGCCUGGGCUGGGAGCGGCGUGUCCGGGCUGCUGCACGAUCUCAGGAACCAUGAACACGGACGCCGGCGCCACCCACGGAGGGUGUCGGCCAGACUAAUGGGGGCAAGUAGUGGGACGUCCCUGGCACUUGCCCCAGCUCAGCACUGUGAUGGAAUUUCCCUCCAGGAAAUCUUGCUCUAAGAGGAAUUCCUGAGCCAUCCCUCCCCUGGGUAUCUCCCUCCACGACCCCAGACUGAACAGGCCAAGCGCAGGACUGAAGACACCACGCAGCCAUCAUGAACCAUCCAUUCAAAGCCUCACGUGGGACAGAGCACGGUUGGCACCCACAGGAAGGAUCAGGCUGGCGUGGAGAAUAGGAAGUCAGAGCCUGAAACAGUCCCAGGCUCUGUCCACUGACAGUCUUGGAGCUCUCUCACCCCAGCAACCCAAAGCACACAAAAUACUAUUCUCCACCCAAACAAGGUGGAGAAAUGACGGGUCCAGGGCAAGGAAGAUACAAGAUAGACUUGGACCAUCUUGUCUUUCAAAGCAAGGAGGUACCUUACGAAUAAAGGAGAUAUGGCAACAGCACCCAGAAGCCAGAUUUAGAGGGCUUCCACUGACUAAUUCGGGACCAAUUAUACAACUCCUUGAAUAAAAAAAGAAAAAAAGAAACCUUGAGUCUCUACUAAUAGAAGUAAAUAAAUACAUUGAAAAUGUGAUAAGGAAUUAAAUACUUGCAUAGCUGCCACGUGCAUCCACCGCGAAAUAUUUUAUUACUAUUAGUUACAAGAGAAAAACAACGGUGACUUUAGUAGAGAAACCUGGCAAAUUCUACCAUAAUAAUGUGGACAAAGUAAACAUUACUGGAUCAGCCUGGAAUUGAAGGGGAACUGGAUGCAGUGGGAAGAACGAACCUCACUUCCAUGGAGAAUCCGAAUCUAAUCGGGACAAACCCAUGCCGAGGGACCUUCCACAAAAAACACCUGGCUUAUAACCUUCCAGAGUCAAAGUCACGUGCCAAAGAGAGCCUGAGGAACCAUAUCAGACCCAAGCAGGAUAGAGACAUGACAACUAAAAAAAAAAAAAAAAAAAAAAAAGCAUGACUCUGAAUUGGAUUAUUUUGCUAAAAAGGACAUUAUUGGGACACAUGGUAACAUUUCAAUAGUCUGAGCUAAGUGGUAGCCUAAUGUUAGUGUCAAGGUCCUGCUGUGGACGGUUGCCUGUGGUUACAUAUGCAAACAUCCAUGUCUGUAAACAAGAUACACUAACAUAUGCAAAUAGCAAAUGGUUUAGGAAAAAACAUUGUACUGAAUUGUAGCCUCUGAGCUUGGAAUUACUUCAAACACUUCAAAAUAUACUUUUAAAAUAUAAUAAGCUGCGAAUGAUAUUUGAUUCCAAUCAUGCUUUUAAAGAUAUACAUGUUUGUAUGUAUAUUUGAGCAUAAAAAGGCUAAAAGUAUAUGCACCAAAAUAUCGACUGAUUAACUUUGAGUAAGUUCACUUGACUACGACUUUCUUUUGUUCUGUAUUUUUCUAAUUUUCUUUUUUUUUAUUUUCCUAAGUUUCUAAGAUGAAUUGCAUUGCUUUUUUUCUUGAUUCAUUAAAUCACUAGAAGAAAAAGUAGAAAUACAGAUCAACAACAACAAAAAUAAUCAAUUAAAAUUACCGUCUCGGAAUACCUGGGUGGCUCAGCGGUUUAGCGCCGCCUUCAGCCCAGGGCCUGAUCCUGGAGACCCCGGAUCUAGUCCCACAUCGGGCUCCCUGCAUGGAGCCUGCUUCUCCCUCUGCCUGUGUCUCUGACUCUCUCUCUCUCUCUCUCUCUCUCUCUGUGUGUGUCUCUCAUGAAUAAAUAAAUGAAAUCUUUUAAAAAUUAAAUUAAAUUAAAUUAAAUUAAAUUAAAUUAAAUUAAAAUUACCCUCUCAUCACUAAAAGGUAACCACAGAUGAUAUUUUGACAUCUAUCCUUCCAGGAUUUUUUUCCAUGCAAAUAUAUACAUAUAGUUUUUUUAUGUUUCUGUAAAAUGGAAUCUUAAUAAACACAUUAUAAUUUUUUUCACUGAAUUUAUCUACAUUUAUAACAUCCAUGUUAAAAGUAUAGGUAUUCAUUAUCACUUUUAGAGGUUGAAUAGGAUUUCACUGUGAGAUUACUG